RNAcentral lists this ribosomal RNA (506 nucleotides) under uncultured bacterium. RNAcentral describes it as "partial 16S ribosomal RNA". It matches the Rfam family "Bacterial small subunit ribosomal RNA", at positions 28 to 523 of the family's 1533-position model. The record is from RNAcentral.
GAUGAACGCUGGCGGCGUGCCUUAAGCAUGCAAGUCGAACGGCAGCACAGGAGAGCUUGCUCUCUGGGUGGCGAGUGGCGGACGGGUGAGGAAUACAUCGGAAUCUACUCUGUCGUGGGGGAUAACGUAGGGAAACUUACGCUAAUACCGCAUACGACCUACGGGUGAAAGCAGGGGACCUUCGGGCCUUGCGCGAUUGAAUGAGCCGAUGUCGGAUUAGCUAGUUGGCGGGGUAAAGGCCAACCAAGGCGACGAUCCGUAGCUGGUCUGAGAGGAUGAUCAGCCACACUGGAACUGAGACACGGUCCAGACUCCUACGGGAGGCAGCAGUGGGGAAUAUUGGACAAUGGGCGCAAGCCUGAUCCAGCCAUACCGCGUGGGUGAAGAAGGCCUUCGGGUUGUAAAGCCCUUUUGUUGGGAAAGAAAUCCAGCUGGCUAAUACCCGGUUGGGAUGACGGUACCCAAAGAAUAAGCACCGGCUAACUUCGUGCCAGCCGCCGCGGUAA